This 253-nucleotide ribosomal RNA is filed under the name uncultured bacterium. RNAcentral describes it as "partial 16S ribosomal RNA". It matches the Rfam family "Bacterial small subunit ribosomal RNA", at positions 524 to 776 of the family's 1533-position model. The record is from RNAcentral.
UACGAAGGGGGCUAGCGUUGUUCGGAAUUACUGGGCGUAAAGGGCGCGUAGGCGGUCCUGAUCGUCGGAUGUGAAAGGCCUGGGCUCAACCUGGGAACUGCGUCCGAUACGGCAGGACUGGAGUGUGGGAGAGGUUGGUGGAAUUCCCAGUGUAGAGGUGAAAUUCGUAGAUAUUGGGAAGAACACCGGUGGCGAAGGCGGCCAACUGGACCACAACUGACGCUGAGGCGCGAAAGCGGGGGGAGCAAACAGG